RNA transcript from Biomphalaria glabrata, 2343 nucleotides. It is a transcript of the gene named E3 ubiquitin-protein ligase rnf168-like, with no coding region annotated. The record is from RefSeq and is a predicted model, not a curated record. Lineage: Eukaryota; Metazoa; Mollusca; Gastropoda; Planorbidae. The transcript is spliced from 9 exons.
GAGAUUACUCUGACACCAAUGUUGCUAACUAAAACAAAACAAUCAUCUGGCAUUUCUUGUUGCUCAAGACCCCUUAAUUUACUUUAAUAUUUACACUCUAAACUAAUAAUAUUCCUUGAGUCGGCAGUUACAAUCUGUUAGGUGAUCACCAUGGUCCUAUUAAAGACUUGGACCUCAACAGAACAAGAUCCCUUAACAGAUUAGAUCAAAGUGGAAGGACUUAUAAAGACAUAGGGUACAGACUAACAGACAAAAAUGAAAUGCCUGGACACAUAGAGACCUUGCACAUGAAACUAAAAGAAGCACAGGACCAGAUCAAAAGCUUGGACAUUCUCCUCACGGGGGCCAACAAACAAAAGGAUAUGUUUGAACAAAAUUAUAAAGUCUUGGAACAGAAGUUGUCUUCAUGUAACAAAAACCUGAAAGAGCUAGAAAGUAAAAAGAACAAAUUAAACAAAGCCAUUUCAGAAUUGCAGAAGGAAAAUACAGAUUUGGAAAGCAAAAGAGCCAGCGCUGAACAUGAGAGCCAUGCUAUUUCUGCUCAGCUGGAAAAGGAAAAGAACAUUGUAAAGAAUCUACAGAAAGAAUGCUCGUCACUUCAGUCUUAUGUCUCUAAACUUCAGAAUGAGGUGAAAGAACUAGAAUCCGAGAAAAUCAAAUUAGCAAAAAUCAUUUCAAAGUUGGAAAACACUAAAGCUAAUUUGGAGAAAGAUAGGGAUGCCAUGUCUUCUUGUUUGAAUGAGGAAAAAGAAAGGUAUAAGAAAGAAUGUGCCACUUUGAUGUCAACAAUAAUACAGUUGCAAAGGGAGGGGAAAAUCUAUGAUGAGGAAAACAAUCAAAUGGACAGAACAAUCCAAGAGCUAGUGACAAUGAAUGCCAGUCUAGAGAAAACUAAAGAUAUCAUUGCUACUCAGCUUGAAGCCGAGAGAGACAAGUCACAGAAAGAGUUAAAAUCAUCCAUAUCAGUAUUACUAGAGGAAUCAGAGGCAGAGAAAGUCAAGUUAAGCAGCAGAAUAACAGAGUUACAGAAAGAGACUUUAGAAUUGGGAAAGAAAUUAGAAAAUACUGAGCAAGAGUUUCAAUCUGUUUCAUCCCAACUUUUGGAAGAAAAGAGUUCAGUCAGCACUAUCAAAGAAGAAUGCUCAGCAAUGAAUUUUACCAUUUUAAAAAUGGAGAAUGAAAUAGCAGAUUUCAAAAACUGAAAAAAUUAAUUUAGUCCAAGGCAGAGAAAGACCAUUUGAAAGCUACCAUAUCAGAAUUACAGAACGACACCAUAGAAUUAAAAGAGAAAUUAGAUUACACUAAGCAAGAGUGUCAAACUGUUUUGUCUCAACUGCAUAAAGAAAGGGAGUCUCUAAACUCAUACAAAUUAGAAAACUCACAGAUGAAAUCAACUAUUUUGAAUAAAGAGAAAGAAAUAGCAGAUUUGAAAGCUGAAAUUAGAAAUCUAGCUAAUACUUUAGUGGAAUCAGAAUACAUUAGAAACGACCUUGAGAAAGGCUUAGCUAAUGAAAGGGAACAAUUCAAGAAAGAAUGCUCCGUUUUGAACUCAUCAGUAGCAGAACUGACGCAGAAGCUUGAGCACUGUGAGAAUGAGAGAAGUAACUUGAAUCAAACAAUACAGAGCUCAAGACUAUAUUGUCCAUUUGGAAAAAGACAAGGAGGCUUUGUCAUCACAGCUGGAAGAAAACUGGAAACUGAUUAAAAAAAUAGAGCCUUUCAGAGAUGUCUUGGAUAAUUUUCAAAUGGAAAAAAAAUUCUUGUUGGAAACAGACAAAUAUACAAGUGAGCAAAUGGAAAGAUUGACCAAAGAAGCCAUUAAAAACAUGGGUCAUCAAAACCAUCGCCAGAAAGUCAAAUAUGUGAAGACUUUAAAAAAGAUUGCUCCGGUGAUUGCUACUGCACAAUGCGACUCUUCCAAAAUGACACAAGACACCUGGCAAACCAAGAAUUCCUUUUAAAGGAAAAUAAAUGCUCUCUGAAUCUGAGUGCAUGUGCCCAGUAUGCAUUAGCUUACUCAUCCAGCCUGUAACGUUUCCCUGCAAUCACUCACUGUGUUUAAAAUGUUACAAGGAAACAGUGGAAAAAUCCAACCUCUCAUGUCCAGUCUGCAGGAAGCGCAUUUCAGUUUGGGCCAGAAAAGCUGCCAAGGAAAAUAAAUUGAUAAACAUGGAAAAGUGGACAGACAUCCAAGAGGCCUUCCCUGAAAAAGUGAGGCGCAGGCUGGAAGCCAGUGAAGAAAGCGACAGUGAAGAUGAUGAAGAUGAUUUUGAAGCCAAGGAAAGACGACAAAUUUCCUGUCCUGGAGAAAUCAGACAAGAAUAUGAAGCUGCUAUCCAGCAG